ACCGCGGUUAUACAAAUAAUACAACUAAAAUUUAUUAGUAAUAGUUAAUUUGUUUUAAUAAAAUUUAAUUUAAAUUUUUUAAGUGAAAUUUUAAAUUUGAUUAAUUUUAUAAUUAUUUUUAAUGAAGCUAAGAACCUUUAAUAGUAAACUAGGAUUAGAUACCCUAUUAUUUAAAGAGUAAAUAUUAAUACUUGAGUAGUAGUAGUUAUGAUCUUCAAACUUAAAGAAUUUGGCGGUGUUUUAGUCUAUUUAGAGGAAUCUGUUCUGUAAUCGAUAAUCCACGUUGGACCUUACUUAAAUUUGUAAUCAAUUUGUAUAUCGCCGUUAUCAGAAUAUCUUAAAAGAGAAAUAAUUUUCUUAAUUUAUUAUUAUAAUUGAUGUCAGGUCAAGGUGCAGUUUAUAUUUUAGUAGAAAUGGAUUACAAUAAAUUUAUUUAUACAGUAAAUUAUUUGAAAUAAUAAUUUUAAGGUGGAUUUAAAAGUAAAAUAAUAAAUAUUAUUUAUUUGAUUAUAGCUCUAAAACAUGCACAC
Molecule: ribosomal RNA, 530 nt
Filed under: Simulium sheilae
Lineage: Eukaryota; Metazoa; Arthropoda; Insecta; Diptera; Simuliidae
Description: partial 12S ribosomal RNA
Source: RNAcentral